Molecule: RNA transcript, 2516 nt
Organism: Manihot esculenta (cassava)
Lineage: Eukaryota; Viridiplantae; Streptophyta; Magnoliopsida; Malpighiales; Euphorbiaceae
Gene name: U-box domain-containing protein 30
Exons: 4
Source: RefSeq, a predicted model, not a curated record
UUUAUUUUCCAUUAUUAUUAUUAUUAUCCGUGAAGAGAAAGACUCUCUCUCUCUUACAUUAAACACUUGCCCCAAAAGAAGAGGAGAACUAGGGAAGCUUGGCUUUUUCGUUUUAUCUUUCUCGCUCGGCUUCACUCUACUGGUUGUCAUGAUUUGACCCUUUUGAAGCUUGAGCAAGAAGUGAGAGGAGCUUGAUUGUACAUGUCUAUGGUGUGUGUUAUUAUGAUGCCAAUGAGUUUUUUUGACCGUAGAAAGGGAUCGCAUAAAGCGACGGGAAAGCAACAGGAGGGGAAGGUGAUGUAUAUGUGUGGGCAAUAAAGGAAGAUUUUUGUUUGUUGCUUGUGAUUGUCAAUGACAGAGAGCUACAUUCUUUGUUUCGCUUUAUUUCACCCUUUUUGCAUAUUUCAUCUGCAACCUGGAUGUAAUGUGCAAUGAAGGGUGUUUGUCACUGCAGUGAUUUGGAGGGAUUCCUUUUGCCCUUUUUGUUAUUGUGUUUGUGUUGUUGGUGGGUUUAGGUUUUCCUUUGUCGGUGUUUCAAAAAAUGCCUAUGUUUCAGGCCUCUAAGAGGGAUGGCAUUGCUGGGUUUGAUAGCCAGGUUUUAGAUUUAGACACUGCAGUGAAAGAUGGAGUUCUGGGAGGUGUUGGUGGUGGGGUUAUUGGUGCUGGGGUUGGCGAGAAAUUGGACCUGAAGAAGAUGAUUGAGGAGCUUGAUUUAUCAGAAGUUCCUUCAGUGUUUGUAUGCCCGAUAUCCCUUGAGCCAAUGCAAGACCCUGUGACUCUUUGCACGGGCCAGACCUAUGAGAGGCCGAAUAUUCUCAAAUGGUUCAGUUUGCGGCAUUAUACUUGCCCUACCACAAUGCAAGAAUUGUGGGAUGUUUCAGUUACGCCAAAUAGAACCCUUUAUCAUUUUAUUUACUCUUGGUUUUCACAGAAGUAUUUGCUCAUGAAGAAGAGAGCUGAAGAUGUACAGGGAAGGGCAACUGAACUUAUUGAGUCACUAAAGAGAGUGAAGGGUCAAACUAGGGUUCAGGCACUGAAGGAGCUACACCAAGUUGUAGCAGCUCAUGCUUCUGCUAGGAAAUCUGUGGUAGAUGAAGGUGGGGUUGCAGUGCUUUCAUCUUUACUAGGUCCAUUUACAAGCCAUGCUGUUGGUUCUGAAGUAAUUGGGAUUCUUAUAAAUUUGACACUUGAUUCAGAGGCCAAGUCCAAUUUGAUGCAACCUGCAAAGAUUUCAUUAAUGGUGGAUAUAUUAAAUGAAGGUUCAAUCGAGACAAGUAUAAAUUGCACUAGAUUGAUUAAGAAAUUGAUGGAAGAGAAGGAUUUUAGGACGGAACUUAUCUCAAGUCAUAGUCUGUUGGUUGGACUGAUGAGGCUGGUGAAGGGUAAGAGGCAUGUCAAUGGUAUCUUGCCAGGGCUCAGCCUCCUCAGAUCAAUAUGCUUACAUAUGGAAGUAAGGAGCUUGAUUGUGUCCAUAGGAGCUGUUCCUCAGUUGGUCGAGCUGUUACCUUCCCUGGAUCCUGAUUGUUUGGAAUUGGCACUAUUUAUAUUGGAUGCAUUAUCUUCUCUACCUCAGGGACGGGUAGCAUUGAAGGACUCUCCAAACACAAUACUGAACAUGUCGCAGCUAUUGAUGGGAGUUCCGGAGAUUUGUACACAAUAUGCAUUGUCAAUUUUAUGUUCUGUAUGCAAACUUGCUCCUGAGGAGUGCCCAUCGCUUGCUGUGAAUGUGGGUCUUGCAGCGAAGCUACUGCUUGUGAUUCAGAGUGGUUGUAAUCCUGUCGUGAAGCAGCAAUCUGCAGAGCUUUUGAAGCUGUGUAGUCUGAAUUACACGGAUAGUAUCUUCAUUUCUAAAUGCAAACUUAUAAAGACAAUCCAGUGAGAGGAAGUUUUACAUGGUGAGAUAUGUGCAUCCCCCUGUGAUAUUUGCAGCAGCAGAAGUCAUGGCUAGCCAGUUUUGAGACAAUGAAUCAUCUCAAAUCAAUUGGCAUAUGAAAUGGGGCUUGAGGUGCAAUGUGUACCUUCUUUUCUCCAAUAGUGGAAAGAGUUGAGGGAGGACAUGACUUAUCCUAACUAGCCAUCUCUUGCCAAAUUCACUGUGAGAAUGAAAAGAAAGAAAAUUGUGAAGGGUUAUCAAUCAACUGUGGCCCUGAUUUGCUAUCAACUGCAGCUCCAAACUUCUGUGCAAGUUCACUGGUGCUUCCAGCUCUCCUGCAGAAACAUUAGUGGGGAAAAAUAAAAAGAGUAAAGUUCUCCUUGAAGAGACCUUAUUAAAGCAUUUGGCAUCUUUGAAUGAUGCCGUGGACAGGACACCUGAGACCCAUAAUCAUGGAAAAAGGUUAAUCUUAUACAAGAAGGCGAGGCUUUUGAAAGGGCUUCCAUGUGUAAUCUCUUUAGCUUUAUCAAUGAACUGUCUUAGUACUACACUAAUCAUGAAAACUUCAAUUAGUAUGAUUUGUUGGUUGGUGUGAAUGCAGAGAAGAUUCUCACAACAAAAACCAAUUGAAGGAACGCACGCC